AGACCACAGCACCGCAUGGUGCAGGGGUAAAAACUCCGGUGGUGUGAGAUGAGCCCGCGUCUGAUUAGGUAGUUGGCGGGGUAACGGCCCACCAAGCCGACGAUCAGUAGCCGACCUGAGAGGGUGACCGGCCACAUUGGGACUGAGACACGGCCCAAACUCCUACGGGAGGCAGCAGUGGGGAAUAUUGCACAAUGGGGGAAACCCUGAUGCAGCGACGCCGCGUGAGCGAAGAAGUAUUUCGGUAUGUAAAGCUCUAUCAGCAGGGAAGAAACUGACGGUACCUGACUAAGAAGCACCGGCUAAAUACGUGCCAGCAGCCGCGGUAAUACGUAUGGUGCAAGCGUUAUCCGGAUUUACUGGGUGUAAAGGGAGCGUAGACGGAGCAGCAAGUCUGGAGUGAAAACCCGGGGCUCAACCCCGGGACUGCUUUGGAAACUGUUGUUCUAGAGUGCUGGAGAGGUAAGUGGAAUUCCUAGUGUAGCGGUGAAAUGCGUAGAUAUUAGGAGGAACACCAGUGGCGAAGGCGGCUUACUGGACAGUAACUGACGUUGAGGCUCGAAAGCGUGGGGAGCAAACAGGAUUAGAUACCCUGGUAGUCCACGCCGUAAACGAUGACUGCUAGGUGUCGGGGAGCAAAGCUCUUCGGUGCCGCAGCUAACGCAAUAAGCA
Molecule: ribosomal RNA, 672 nt
Filed under: uncultured bacterium
Lineage: Bacteria
Description: bacterial SSU rRNA
Rfam family: Bacterial small subunit ribosomal RNA
Source: RNAcentral